ACCUGCCCUAUGAAUAAUUUACUUUUAAAUGGCUGCGGUAUUUUGACCGUGCAAAGGUAGCAUAAUAAUUAGUUUCUUAAUUGGGAACUGGAAUGAAUGGUCGAACGAGAAAAAGACUGUCUCAGUUUAAUUUAAAUUAGAAUUUUAUUUUUAAGUAAGAAAGCUUAAAUAAGUUUAAAAGACGAGAAGACCCUAUAGAGUUUUAUAUUAAUUUAUUAUAAUUGAAAGUUAAAGUAUUUUAGAUUUGAUUAUGGUUAUUAAUAUUUAAUUGGGGCGAUUGAAAAAUUUAAUAAACUUUUUUUAGAUAAAACCAUUAAUUUAUGAAUAAGUGAUCCAUAAUUUAUGAUUAAAAGAUU
Molecule: ribosomal RNA, 356 nt
Filed under: Arachnodes grossepunctatus
Lineage: Eukaryota; Metazoa; Arthropoda; Insecta; Coleoptera; Scarabaeidae
Description: partial 16S ribosomal RNA
Rfam family: Archaeal large subunit ribosomal RNA (bases 1-168)
Source: RNAcentral